GAGACCCGGAGGCUGAGGCUGUAGGUGGGCUCCGCUGGGUAAAAGUUGCCGCAGCAGCUGUCCCUUGGCCCCAUCGCGAUUUAUUUUUCCCCCUUGCUUUCCGGGUCCCGGGAUCCCAAGUUUGUAACUAACGGGAGCGAAUCCACACCCGAGCAAAAUGUUUGCGAGUUUCAGGCGCCCUUAGUUGAAAGGCUGUAAUUAACAAGUCCGCUGUUUGCCAGCCAGGCGCCGUUGCAGGCGCUUUCUGUGGAUUGUCAUUUAUUUCUCACAGCAACCCUAGGAGGCUGUUAUCCUUGACAUCUGCAGCAGCCCUUCCAAGCUGUGGAGACCAGGUCAUCUGGAAUGCCCAUUUAUGUCAAUGGAAGAAAGAAAAAGGGGUCUCCUCCCAUCCUCACCACUGCAUUCUCCCACCAACCCUGCUCCUGUCCCACUUCCCACAACUCAGUUGUUGACAAUUUAACAGUGGGUUUCUGGAAACAGUGCUGCCUCCUUGAUGGUCUAACUAACUAC
This 510-nucleotide long non-coding RNA is filed under the name Homo sapiens (human). RNAcentral describes it as "non-protein coding lnc-CPVL-4:1". Lineage: Eukaryota; Metazoa; Chordata; Mammalia; Primates; Hominidae. The record is from RNAcentral.